CAGGGAGCCAUCAGGAAGGGUGCUGGGGCCCGGGGCCCGUCGUGCUGUGUGUGUGCAAACUCAAUGUGGCGUCCCCUGAUCAGGAGUGGGAGCUGCGCGCUGCCCGGUUCCAGGUUAAUGGAACGCAGGAAGCUGCACGGCUACUUGGAGAAUGAGCCGCUGAUGUUGCAGCUUUUCAUUGGGACGGCGGACGACCGCCUGCUGCGCCCGCACGCCUUCUACCAGGUGCACCGCAUCACAGGGAAGACCGUGUCCACCACCAGCCACGAGGCCAUCCUCUCCAACACCAAAGUCCUGGAGAUCCCACUCCUGCCGGAGAACAGCAUGCGAGCCGUCAUUGACUGUGCCGGAAUCCUGAAACUCAGAAACUCCGACAUUGAACUUCGGAAAGGAGAGACGGACAUCGGGAGGAAGAACACACGGGUACGGCUGGUGUUCCGCGUUCACGUC
This 450-nucleotide small RNA is filed under the name Pan troglodytes (chimpanzee). Its description in RNAcentral is "processed transcript". Lineage: Eukaryota; Metazoa; Chordata; Mammalia; Primates; Hominidae. The record is from RNAcentral.